AGGAAGCGUGCCCGAACACAAGGACUACUUUGAUAGAGUAGCACAUAGGGGUUUAAACCCCCUCACUUCCUU
Molecule: transfer RNA, 72 nt
Filed under: Tarentola mauritanica (Moorish gecko)
Lineage: Eukaryota; Metazoa; Chordata; Lepidosauria; Squamata; Phyllodactylidae
Description: tRNA-Ile
Source: RNAcentral